This 520-nucleotide ribosomal RNA is filed under the name uncultured Glomus. RNAcentral's name for it is "SSU rRNA". It matches the Rfam family "Eukaryotic small subunit ribosomal RNA", at positions 569 to 1092 of the family's 1831-position model. Lineage: Eukaryota; Fungi; Glomeromycota; Glomeromycetes; Glomerales; Glomeraceae. The record is from RNAcentral.
AGCAGCCGCGGUAAUUCCAGCUCCAAUAGCGUAUAUUAAAGUUGUUGCAGUUAAAAAGCUCGUAGUUGAAUUUCGGGAUCAAUACGUCGGUCGUGCUUCGGUACGUACUGGCGUCAUUGAUUUCUCCCUUCUGACGAACCAUGAUGUCAUUAACUUGGUGUCAUGGGAAAUCAGGACUGUUACUUUGAAAAAAUUAGAGUGUUUAAAGCAGGCUCACGCUUGAAUACAUUAGCAUGGAAUAAUGAAAUAGGACGUUCGAUCCUAUUUUGUUGGUUUUUAGGAUCAACGUAAUGAUUAAUAGGGAUAGUUGGGGGCAUUAGUAUUCAAUUGUCAGAGGUGAAAUUCUUGGAUUUAUUGAAGACUAACUACUGCGAAAGCAUUUGCCAAGGAUGUUUUCAUUAAUCAAGAACGAAAGUUAGGGGAUCGAAGACGAUCAGAUACCGUCGUAGUCUUAACCAUAAACUAUGCCGACUAGGGAUCGGAUGAUGUUAAUUUUUAAUGACUCAUUCGGCGCCUUAAC